AAUUGAAGAACAAUUGAUAUAAUAAUCUUUUCAACGCUGGUUUAAGACGUAAAGAUGAGCCACUAGCUAGAUAUGUAAACAUGAUAUCGAUCAUACAUAGAUGAUGUUGGUCAUAAUAAUUAAAAUUUUGAUUGAGUCGCUAGAGGACUAUUUUAUUGAGACUGCGUCCCAAGCGGGUGGAUACAGGGAACGACAAUAUUAGUGCCCCAAACAAAAACUAGCUUCACUAGAGAUUCAGGAAUAAACACAACAACAUAUUUUCGUAUCGCCUGGUCCAGUCCUGCAGUAGGCCCCGAGCCAGCGGUUGCCACUGUGUCCGCAUAAGUUUUUGCAGACAUUUGAAUUGUAGACUUGAAUAGGCAAGCACUCUUCAUGAAGAUCAACUAAACAUUGAGGAAAUGUAAUGAUAUUAAUUACAAAUGUUUGGUAAGGUCUAUUUUAGCAAAAAUAAUGAAUUCGGUAAGAAAACAAUGAUUAAAGGAUGUUUGGAGAUACGCACGUUCAUAGCAAGAGGUUGGUAAGAUCAAAGUGCAAAACAUGAUCAAAACAAUAAUG
RNAcentral lists this long non-coding RNA (555 nucleotides) under Triticum aestivum (bread wheat). RNAcentral's name for it is "long non-coding RNA (TAES_LNC019026)". Lineage: Eukaryota; Viridiplantae; Streptophyta; Magnoliopsida; Poales; Poaceae. The record is from RNAcentral.